Molecule: ribosomal RNA, 468 nt
Filed under: uncultured bacterium
Lineage: Bacteria
Description: partial 16S ribosomal RNA
Rfam family: Bacterial small subunit ribosomal RNA
Source: RNAcentral
GACGAACGCUGGCGGCGUGCUUAACACAUGCAAGUCGAACGGAAAGGCCCUGCUUUUGUGGGGUGCUCGAGUGGCGAACGGGUGAGUAACACGUGAGUAACCUGCCCUUGACUUUGGGAUAACUUCAGGAAACUGGGCCAAAACCCGAUAAGAGCCUCUUCCGCAAGGGGGGGGGUUGAAAAGUUUCGGCGGUGGGGGAUGGCCUCGCGGCUUAUCAGCUUGUUGGUGGGGUAGUGGCUUACCAAGGCUUUGACGGGUAGCCGGCCUGAGAGGGUGACCGGCCACAUUGGGACUGAGAUACGGCCCAGACUCCUACGGGAGGCAGCAGUGGGGAAUAUUGCACAAUGGGCGGAAGCCUGAUGCAGCAACGCCGCGUGCGGGAUGACGGCCUUCGGGUUGUAAACCGCUUUCGCCUGUGACGAAGCGUGAGUGACGGUAAUGGGUAAAGAAGCACCGGCUAACUACGUG